Molecule: ribosomal RNA, 491 nt
Filed under: uncultured bacterium
Lineage: Bacteria
Description: partial 16S ribosomal RNA
Rfam family: Bacterial small subunit ribosomal RNA
Source: RNAcentral
GAUGAACGCUGGCUACAGGCUUAACACAUGCAAGUCGAGGGGAAACGACGGGGAAGCUUGCUUCCCCGGGCGUCGACCGGCGCACGGGUGAGUAACGCGUAUCCAACCUGCCUCUGACUGAGGGAUAACCCGUCGAAAGUCGGCCUAAUACCUCAUGGCAUCGUCUGCGGGCAUCCAACGACGAUUAAAGAUUUCAUCGGUCAGGGAUGGGGAUGCGUCUGAUUAGCUUGUUGGCGGGGUAACGGCCCUCCAAGGCUACGAUCAGUAGGGGUUCUGAGAGGAAGGUCCCCCACAUUGGAACUGAGACACGGUCCAAACUCCUACGGGAGGCAGCAGUGAGGAAUAUUGGUCAAUGGGCGGGAGCCUGAACCAGCCAAGUAGCGUGCAGGAUGACGGCCCUAUGGGUUGUAAACUGCUUUUAUGCGGGGAUAAAGUGAGAGACGUGUCCUUCAUUGCAGGUACCGCAUGAAUAAGGACCGGCUAAUUCCGUG